Molecule: unclassified non-coding RNA, 256 nt
Filed under: Hevea brasiliensis (rubber tree)
Lineage: Eukaryota; Viridiplantae; Streptophyta; Magnoliopsida; Malpighiales; Euphorbiaceae
Source: RNAcentral
GAUAAGCCUGCAUAUGAUACAAGGUUCGCAUCCUCUUCUCAUUAAUCAAAACUAGUUCUUUAUAUAUUUUCUGGGCCCAUUCAUUUUCCUGGAUCUUAGCUUCUAGUAUCACCCUCAAGGAUUUGACCUCUUACUAAUGGAUAGCAUUGGUUUAGUCCCAUCUACUAAAGAGAAUGGGUUACCCCCGUGGAUGUCCUUACAGUACUACGAUAACCUUAAACAACAUACGGAAUUUUUCAGGCCAAUCCUUAUAUGU